Molecule: non-coding RNA, 351 nt
Organism: Paramuricea clavata
Lineage: Eukaryota; Metazoa; Cnidaria; Anthozoa; Malacalcyonacea; Plexauridae
Source: the annotation of a GenBank genome assembly
CUUUACAAGCUCCAAAAUCGAGCUGCUAGGAUUAUAACGAAUUCAGAUUAUAGUAUAAGGUCCUCGCUAAUAUUUCAAAACCUUGGUUGGAAAUCUAUUGAAUUAAUCCUAAAAAAGCGAGACCUUUUCAUAACAUUUAAAGCGCUAAAAGGUAUGCUUCCAAACUAUAUAUCACAAUUAUUUCAUACUUAAGAAAAUGGCGACUACGAUCUGCGCAGCAAUAACUUCAAAUUGUCCCAAAGGAACCAAAAACAAAUUUUUUAAAGUAUAGUUUUCCUAUAGAGGAGCAACGUCUUGGAAUAACAUCCCAAUAGAUAGUCUUAAUAUUCUAAAUGAAACAACUAGUCUAAC